AAUCAACGCUGGCGGCGUGCCUCAGACAUGCAAGUCGAACGCGAAAGUCCCCGUUCGGGGGGCAAGUAGAGUGGCGCACGGGUGAGUAACACGUAGGUAAUCUACCUUUGGAUGGGGAAUAACAACCGGAGACGGUUGCUAAUACCGCAUAAUGCAGCGGCACCUAAUGGUGACAGUUGUUAAAGCGGGGGAUCGAAAGACCUCGCGUCUGAAGAGGAGCCUGCGGCGGAUUAGCAGUUGGUAAGGUAACGGCUUACCAAGGCGACGAUCCGUAGCCGGCCUGAGAGGGCGGUCGGCCACACUGACACUGACAUACGGGUCAGACUCCUACGGGAGGCAGCAGUCGGGAAUUUUGGGCAAUGGGCGAAAGCCUGACCCAGCAACGCCGCGCGAAGGAU
This 398-nucleotide ribosomal RNA is filed under the name uncultured bacterium. RNAcentral describes it as "bacterial SSU rRNA". It matches the Rfam family "Bacterial small subunit ribosomal RNA", at positions 32 to 409 of the family's 1533-position model. The record is from RNAcentral.